GCUGGCGGCGUGGAUAAGACAUGCAAGUCGGACGAGAUUUCGUCCUGUAGCAAUACAGGACGAAGUCUAGUGGCGAACGGGUGCUUAACACGUGGGCAAUCUGUCUUAAAGUGGGGGAUAGCUCGGCGAAAGCCGAAUUAAUACCGCAUGUGAUUAGAGUGGACAUCCAUUCAAAAUCAAAGGUGGCGCAAGCUACCGCUUUUUGAGGAGCCCGCGGCCUAUCAGCUAGUUGGUGAGGUAACGGCUCACCAAGGCUUUGACGGGUAGCUGGUCUGAGAGGACGACCAGCCACACUGGGACUGAGACACGGCCCAGACACCUACGGGUGGCAGCAGUCGAGAAUUUUUCUCAAUGGGGGAAACCCUGAAGGAGCGACGCCGCGUGGAGGAUGAAGGUCUUCGGAUUGUAAACUCCUGUCAUUGGGGAACAAGUCGCUUACGUUAACUGCGUGAGCGUUGAUAGUACCCGAAGAGGAAGAGACGGCUAACUCUGUGCCAGCAGCCGCGGUAAUACAGAGGUCUCAAGCGUUGUUCGGAUUCAUUGGGCGUAAAGGGUGCGUA
RNAcentral lists this ribosomal RNA (560 nucleotides) under uncultured soil bacterium. Its description in RNAcentral is "bacterial SSU rRNA". It matches the Rfam family "Bacterial small subunit ribosomal RNA", at positions 35 to 573 of the family's 1533-position model. The record is from RNAcentral.